CGUAGGGUGCGAGCGUUAAUCGGAAUUACUGGGCGUAAAGUGUGCGCAGGUGGCCGCGCAAGUCGAGUGUGAAAUCCCCGAGCUUAACUUGGGAAUUGCGCUCGAAACUACGUGGCUCGAGUGUGGCAGAGGAAGGUGGAAUUCCACGUGUAGCGGUGAAAUGCGUAGAGAUGUGGAGGAACACCGAUGGCGAAGGCAGCCUUCUGGGCCAACACUGACGCUCAUGCACGAAAGCGUGGGGAGCAAACAGGAUUAGAUACCCUGGUAGUCCACGCCCUAAACGAUGAUGACUAGUUGUUGGGGGAGUUAAAUCCCUUAGUAACGUAGCUAACGCGCGAAGUCAUCCGCCUGGGGAGUACGGUCGCAAGAUUAA
Molecule: ribosomal RNA, 373 nt
Filed under: uncultured organism
Description: bacterial SSU rRNA
Rfam family: Bacterial small subunit ribosomal RNA
Source: RNAcentral